ACCUGAAAAGAUGGUUGACCGUAGGACAUGCGCUAUCUCUGUGUCGUAUGUAAUACGGUCCACAUCUUCUCAAUAUC
MicroRNA precursor from Choloepus hoffmanni (Hoffmann's two-fingered sloth), 77 nucleotides. Lineage: Eukaryota; Metazoa; Chordata; Mammalia; Pilosa; Megalonychidae. The record is from Ensembl.